This 74-nucleotide transfer RNA is filed under the name Momotus momota (Blue-crowned motmot). RNAcentral's name for it is "tRNA-Ser". It matches the Rfam family "tRNA". Rfam says of the family: Transfer RNA (tRNA) molecules are approximately 80 nucleotides in length. Their secondary structure includes four short double-helical elements and three loops (D, anti-codon, and T loops). Further hydrogen bonds mediate the characteristic L-shaped molecular structure. tRNAs have two regions of fundamental functional importance: the anti-codon, which is responsible for specific mRNA codon recognition, and the 3' end, to which the tRNAs corresponding amino acid is attached (by aminoacyl-tRNA synthetases). tRNAs cope with the degeneracy of the genetic code in two manners: having more than one tRNA (with a specific anti-codon) for a particular amino acid; and 'wobble' base-pairing, i.e. permitting non-standard base-pairing at the 3rd anti-codon position. Lineage: Eukaryota; Metazoa; Chordata; Aves; Coraciiformes; Momotidae. The record is from RNAcentral.
GAGAGAGAAGCAUAUGUGGUUUGAUGCAGUUGGCUUGAAACCAGCAGACGAGGGUUCGAUUCCUUCCUUUCUUG